GAUGAAUGUUGGCGGCGCGCCUAAUACAUGCAAGCUGAGCGACCGGACGAGAAGAUUGCCUUUCUGUUGUUAGCGGCGGCCGGGUGAGUAUUAUGUGGAUAAUUUACAUAUAAGAUUGGGUUAACUAUGGGAAUACGGAGCUAAUAACGGUUAAUAUUUAGAACUGUAUGGUUAAAAAGUGAAAGAUGGUCUUGCAGUUACUUAUAGAUGGAACCUCGCUGAUUUAGUUAUCUGGUAAGGUAACGGCAUACGAAGGCAACGAUGAAUAGCCGACCUGAGAGGAUGAUCGGCCACACUGUAUCUAAUACACAGACCAUACUCCUACGCGAGGCAGCAGUAGGGAAUCUUCCACAAUGAACUAAAGCCUGACGCAACAACGCCGCGUGAGUGAUGAAGGACUUCGGAUCAUAAAACUCUGUUAUUAGGGAAGAACAUAUGUGUAAGUAACUGGACACAUCUUGACGUUACCUAAUCAGAAAGCCACGGCUAACUACGAG
This 497-nucleotide ribosomal RNA is filed under the name uncultured bacterium. RNAcentral's name for it is "partial 16S ribosomal RNA". It matches the Rfam family "Bacterial small subunit ribosomal RNA", at positions 28 to 507 of the family's 1533-position model. The record is from RNAcentral.